Molecule: long non-coding RNA, 194 nt
Organism: Thalassophryne amazonica
Lineage: Eukaryota; Metazoa; Chordata; Actinopteri; Batrachoidiformes; Batrachoididae
Exons: 3
Source: RefSeq, a predicted model, not a curated record
AGAAAUUUUGAGCCGAAAAUCUUCUUUUAUUCUCCACUGACGAUGUUAACCAAGUUUGAAACGAAAUCUGCCUGUGUCAAAGGCCUGAGUUUCAUCCAAGAGGCCCUGGGUUCUCGCCAGUUUGCACAACGGAGUCAUCCAGCUGUGGGAUUACCGGAUAUGCACGUUGACUGACAAGUUCGACGAGCACGAUG